UAAUCUCUUUGAGAUAAAUUUUUAUUUAGUUAUGACAGACUCACACCUAACUGCUUAGAAUCACUCAUUGCUAUGUAAACAAUUACUUUUUGAGAUUUUAAUUGGAGU
Molecule: non-coding RNA, 108 nt
Organism: Populus trichocarpa (black cottonwood)
Lineage: Eukaryota; Viridiplantae; Streptophyta; Magnoliopsida; Malpighiales; Salicaceae
Source: Rfam